This 433-nucleotide ribosomal RNA is filed under the name uncultured bacterium. RNAcentral's name for it is "partial 16S ribosomal RNA". It matches the Rfam family "Bacterial small subunit ribosomal RNA", at positions 29 to 507 of the family's 1533-position model. The record is from RNAcentral.
AACGAACGCUGGCGGCGUGCCUAACACAUGCAAGUCGAACGAAACCUUCGGGUCUAUGGGCUCACGGUGUCGUAACCCGUGGGGACCGUCCCUUAUGUUCGAAAUAACUCCCCGAAAGGGAUCCUAAUACCAGAUAGGGUCUUCGAACCAAAGAUUUAUCGCCUUUGGAUGGGCGCGCGUUAGAUUAGAUAGUUGGUAGGGUAAAAGCAUACCAAGGCGUGGAUCCAUAGCUGGUAUGAGAGCCUGAUCAGCCACACUGGGACUGAGACACGGCCGAGACUCCUACGGAAGGGAGGAGUGGGGAAUAUUGGAACAGGGGGGAAAGGAUGAUGAAGCAAUGAGGGGUGAGUGAUGAAGGUAGUGGGGUUGUAAAGUUCUUUUAACCGGGAUGAUAAUGACAGUACCGGGAGAAUAAGCCCCGGCUAACUACGUG